UGGGGAAUUUUGGACAAUGGGCGAAAGCCUGAUCCAGCAAUGCCGCGUGUGUGAAGAAGGCCUUCGGGUUGUAAAGCACUUUUGUCCGGAAAGAAAUCCUUGGCUCUAAUACAGUCGGGGGAUGACGGUACCGGAAGAAUAAGCACCGGCUAACUACGUGCCAGCAGCCGCGGUAAUACGUAGGGUGCAAGCGUUAAUCGGAAUUACUGGGCGUAAAGCGUGCGCAGGCGGUUUGCUAAGACCGAUGUGAAAUCCCCGGGCUCAACCUGGGAACUGCAUUGGUGACUGGCAGGCUAGAGUAUGGCAGAGGGGGGUAGAAUUCCACGUGUAGCAGUGAAAUGCGUAGAGAUGUGGAGGAAUACCGAUGGCGAAGGCAGCCCCCUGGGCCAAUACUGACGCUCAUGCACGAAAGCGUGGAGAGCAAACAGGAUUAGAUACCCUGGUAGUCCACGCCCUAAACGAUGUCAACUAGUUGUUGGGGAUUCAUUUUCCUUAGUAACGUAGCUAACGCGUGAAGUUGACCGCCUGGGGAGUACGGUCGCAAGAUUAAAACUCAAAGGAAUUGACGGGGUCAUAGCUGUUUCCU
RNAcentral lists this ribosomal RNA (586 nucleotides) under uncultured bacterium. RNAcentral's name for it is "partial 16S ribosomal RNA". It matches the Rfam family "Bacterial small subunit ribosomal RNA", at positions 355 to 1375 of the family's 1533-position model. The record is from RNAcentral.